GUAUGGUAGGAACAUAGAAAAGAUGGAGGAACUGUGCACCAGCCACAACACAGGGCCGGGCACACUGUAUCAGCCGUUUGUGUGAGCUCUGGAGCCUAGGCUGCCUGGUCUCUGCUGUACUCUGGUGCCUGCACCUGCAGAUGCUCUCUCACCCUGCAUCACAAGUGACUAAGAUGGAUCGUGUGCCUUAGGCUCAGGGUGGGUCUGAGAAGAAUAGCACUGCAGAAAAGAAUGAGUGGACCUCCUUCCAGUGGGAGAAGCAAAAUCCGCCUCCUGAGGCUCCAGUAUCUCCAACAGGGAAUACUCCUAUGAAGCCAGACAGCCCUGGUCCCUGCAAACCUCCCCUGGCCCAGGACACAUGCAUUCAGCAUCCCAGACCUGAGAGACAAAAGGGCAGGGAGAGCUGUGUGCUCUUCAUUCCCCACCCGGCUGCUGCCUUUCCUGGCCUCCAGCCAGCGCAGAAGCAGGCUGGCCCUUGCCUACGGCUUUCACCCAUCUCCUCCACUCUAGAAAUACAGAAGGAUGUGCCACCUCUGCGGAUUGCAACUGUUGUUGCCACCUUGAGGCAUCAGUGGUGAGAAAGGGCAGGGAAGCCAGGAGGAAGUGAAGACAAGGGGAGAGAUGGAAAGGUGGAAAAGAAGGACGGGGGAGAGGGAGGUAAGAAAAAGGAAUGAGGAGCGUAUGGACUCUCUCCCAGGAGGAAGGACUGGGUGCCACCUGCUGCUGACUUCUAGGAAGAUGUGGCCAGAUCAGAACUCUGAGAAAGGCAUUCAACAGCAUGCAUGCAUGCCCACGGGCUCUGCCACCCCUUCCACAUGUCAUCUGAGUCAUGAGAAGCAGGUGACAUCUCUGAGGAGAUGGAUAUCUUGGGUCACCUUCAGAAGGUGGGCCAAAGGUACACCAAGGAGUCCUGCAAGAAACUGCGGGAGGGAGCCCUAUAGGAGGUGGUUCUACCUUCCAGCCUGCAUCACUUGUGCUAAGACAGAGGGAGCAUGGAGGAGGCCAGGUCCAAGUGCUAACCUGCCUACGCUGCACCCGGGUUCCUCUGAGACAGGGUCCUGCCUGGGCCAGAGACCAGGGACUGUGGGACAGAGAAACCGUCUUUCCUCCUCCACCUACCUGGAGUUUCCAAGCAAGCGAAACAUGAGUGAGGGGUGGGACUUUCACCUCACAAGCCCAUCUAUGAGAAAUAAAAGGCCCAUGGGAGUGUGGAUUGAUGCAGGGGCUGGUGGUGUA
Molecule: long non-coding RNA, 1236 nt
Organism: Peromyscus eremicus (cactus mouse)
Lineage: Eukaryota; Metazoa; Chordata; Mammalia; Rodentia; Cricetidae
Exons: 4
Source: RefSeq, a predicted model, not a curated record